Molecule: ribosomal RNA, 253 nt
Filed under: uncultured bacterium
Lineage: Bacteria
Description: partial 16S ribosomal RNA
Rfam family: Bacterial small subunit ribosomal RNA
Source: RNAcentral
UACGUAGGGGGCGAGCGUUGUCCGGAGUUAUUGGGCGUAAAGCGCGUGCAGGCGGCCUGGUAGGUGCGGUGUGAAAGCUCCCGGCUCAACUGGGAGAGUGCGCUGCAGACCGCCGGGCUCGAGGGCUGGAGAGGAAGAUGGAAUUCCCGGUGUAGCGGUGGAAUGCGUAGAGAUCGGGAGGAACACCAGUGGCGAAAGCGGUCUUCUGGACAGCCCCUGACGCUCAAGCGCGAAAGCGAGGGGAGCGAACGGG